Molecule: ribosomal RNA, 253 nt
Filed under: uncultured bacterium
Lineage: Bacteria
Description: partial 16S ribosomal RNA
Rfam family: Bacterial small subunit ribosomal RNA
Source: RNAcentral
UACGGCGGGUGCGAGCGUUGUCCGGAAUCACUGGGCGUAAAGGGCGCGUAGGCGGCUUUUCAAGCGUGCGGUGAAAGCUCGGGGCUUAACUCCGAGUCUGCCGUGCGAACUGGGAGGCUUGAGUCUGGUAGAGGUCGAUGGAAUUCCGGGUGUAGCGGUGGAAUGCGUAGAGAUCCGGAAGAACACCGGUGGCGAAGGCGGUCGACUGGGCCAGUACUGACGCUGAGGCGCGACAGCGUGGGGAGCAAACAGG